RNAcentral lists this ribosomal RNA (253 nucleotides) under uncultured bacterium. RNAcentral's name for it is "partial 16S ribosomal RNA". It matches the Rfam family "Bacterial small subunit ribosomal RNA", at positions 524 to 776 of the family's 1533-position model. The record is from RNAcentral.
UACAGAGGGUGCAAGCGUUGUUCGGAAUUACUGGGCGUAAAGCGCACGUAGGCGGCUUUGCAAGUUAGAGGUGAAAGCCCGGAGCUCAACUCCGGAAUUGCCUUUAAAACUGCAUCGCUAGAAUUGUGGAGAGGUAAGUGGAAUUCCGAGUGUAGAGGUGAAAUUCGUAGAUAUUCGGAAGAACACCAGUGGCGAAGGCGACUUACUGGACACAUAUUGACGCUGAGGUGCGAAAGCGUGGGGAGCAAACAGG